Molecule: small RNA, 657 nt
Filed under: Sporobolomyces roseus
Lineage: Eukaryota; Fungi; Basidiomycota; Microbotryomycetes; Sporidiobolales; Sporidiobolaceae
Description: eukaryotic LSU rRNA
Rfam family: Eukaryotic large subunit ribosomal RNA
Source: RNAcentral
UUUACAUUGAGCCAACUUAAUUAAGGAAGCUUCUAAUUGAAAAGUCUACCUUUAGAUUAGAUCUCAAAUCAGGCAGGAUUACCCGCUGAACUUAAGCAUAUCAAUAAGCGGAGGAAAAGAAACUAACAAGGAUUCCCCUAGUAGCGGCGAGCGAAGCGGGAAAAGCUCAAAUUUGUAAUCUGGCGUCUACGACGUCCGAGUUGUAAUCUCGAGAAGUGUUUUCCGUGAUAGACCGCAUACAAGUCUCUUGGAACAGAGCGUCAUAGUGGUGAGAACCCAGUACACGAUGCGGAUGCCUAUUACUUUGUGAUACACUUUCGAAGAGUCGAGUUGUUUGGGAAUGCAGCUCAAAUUGGGUGGUAAAUUCCAUCUAAAGCUAAAUAUUGGCGAGAGACCGAUAGCGAACAAGUACCGUGAGGGAAAGAUGAAAAGCACUUUGGAAAGAGAGUUAACAGUACGUGAAAUUGUUGGAAGGGAAACACAUGCAGCCAGACUUGCUAUUCGGGGCAACUCGAUUGGCAGGCCCGCAUCAGUUUUUUGGGGCGGAAAAGCAUAGAGAGAAGGUAGCAAUUUCGGUUGUGUUAUAGCUCUUUAUUGGAUUCGCCCUAGGGGACUGAGGAACGCAGCGUGCUUUUAGCAUAACCUUCGGGUUAUCCA